UUAAAAAGUUCUUAGAAAUAUCUAUAAGUAGUGUCCGAUAUAUGCUCCUUUCUCUUAUUGUAAAAGAAGAGAAGAUGGCUAUUGGUAUCAACAAAGUGCAUUUUUUCAUUGCAAUGUUAUGCAUUGCAUCUGUUUUGACAUCAGGAGGAGUCAUUGAUUCACAAUCAUCAUGGACUUAUUGCAUUGGACAAGGUCCAUGUCCAAAUAAUGAUUCAGGUUGUAGCAAUUAUUGUCAACAAAAAAAGAUUUCACAGGUUGGCAAGUGUAUUGCAAAUCAAUGUUGUUGUACUGGAUAAUUGUACCUUUUCUCAAACUAUUUGUAAACGCCAUCAAAAUAAGUUUAAAAUAAAAUACUAUAUUUAAGUUUU
This is a long non-coding RNA of Lathyrus oleraceus (garden pea), 368 nucleotides long. RefSeq lists it as uncharacterized. The record is from RefSeq and is a predicted model, not a curated record. Lineage: Eukaryota; Viridiplantae; Streptophyta; Magnoliopsida; Fabales; Fabaceae. The transcript is spliced from 2 exons.